GCAAGUGUUCCUGUACUUCUGUGUACUUACGAACUUCCCAAUCCAUCGUUUUAUGAGCACAUAACACAGUUGUGCUACUGUAGAAGUUUGGUAUCAUUUCAGACAUUA
Etheostoma cragini (Arkansas darter) is the source of this 108-nucleotide long non-coding RNA. RefSeq lists it as uncharacterized. The record is from RefSeq and is a predicted model, not a curated record. NCBI's taxonomy places the organism in Eukaryota, Metazoa, Chordata, Actinopteri, Perciformes, Percidae. The transcript has 3 exons.